CCCCUGCCCCAGGCCCGGCCCAGACGCUUCCGCCCAGCCUCCUGGCAGCAAGUGGCUCCCAUACCUGUCGGUCAUGGACGUUCUUCCGGGGGUGUUGAGACAACGGCACUCCGUCCUGCCAAUCAAAUCUACACUGGUCGGGUGGGGCAGCACUGGACCCUCCCCUUACGUAACAGCUCCCGGAGCGAACUGUCAGUCACGGAACUAUCGGCGGGGAUGGUUGAGAGGGAGACGAGCAAGCGCCUGCACAUAAUUGGUCACAGUGUCCGCCAGUCACCGUAGAGACCCACCCACAGGCUGCCUGCUUUCGGACGGAACCACGCCACUGACCCAGCUGGCCAACGCUCAGUCGCCAUAAUCACAUGAACUCAAACUUCGUUCUGCGAGCUGACCCUCGGAUAGUAAAGACACAUCCUCAUCUUUUCCUUGUUGCAUGUUCUCAGU
This is a long non-coding RNA of Hipposideros armiger (great roundleaf bat), 444 nucleotides long. RefSeq lists it as uncharacterized. The record is from RefSeq and is a predicted model, not a curated record. NCBI's taxonomy places the organism in Eukaryota, Metazoa, Chordata, Mammalia, Chiroptera, Hipposideridae. The transcript is spliced from 3 exons.